RNAcentral lists this ribosomal RNA (254 nucleotides) under uncultured bacterium. Its description in RNAcentral is "partial 16S ribosomal RNA". It matches the Rfam family "Bacterial small subunit ribosomal RNA", at positions 524 to 776 of the family's 1533-position model. The record is from RNAcentral.
UACGUAGGGUGCAAGCGUUGUCCGGAAUUAUUGGGCGUAAAGAGCUCGUAGGCGGUUUGUUGCGUCGAAUGUGAAAACCCGGGGCUCAACCCCGGGCCUGCAUUCGAUACGGGCAGACUAGAGUUCGGUAGGGGAGUCUGGAAUUCCUGGGUGUAGCGGUGAAAUGCGCAGAUAUCAGGAGGAACACCGGUGGCGAAGGCGGGACUCUGGGCCGAUACUGACGCUGAGGAGCGAAAGCGUGGGGAGCAAACAGG